Molecule: ribosomal RNA, 483 nt
Filed under: uncultured bacterium
Lineage: Bacteria
Description: partial 16S ribosomal RNA
Rfam family: Bacterial small subunit ribosomal RNA
Source: RNAcentral
GAUGAACGCUAGCGGCAGGCUUAAUACAUGCAAGUCGAGGGGGCAGCAAUGUCACCGGCGAACGGGUGCGUAACACGUAUGCAACCUACCUAUAUCAGGGGGAUAGCUCGAGGAAACGCGGAUUAAUACCGCAUAACAUUAGGAGCGGCAGCGAUUAUAAUUGUAAGAUGUAUCGGAUACAGAUGGGCAUGCGUAGUAUAAGCUAGUUGGUAAGGUAACGGGAUACCAAGGCUAGGAACCUUAGGGGCUCUGAGAGGAGUAUCCCCCACACUGGCACUGAGAUACGGGCCAGACUCCUACGGGAGGCAGCAGUAGGGAAUAUUGGGCAAUGGGCGGAAGCCUGACCCAGCCAUGCCGCGUGCAGGAAGACGGCCCUCUGGGUUGUAAACUGCUUUUGAAUGGGAAGAAAGGUAUGCUUGCGAGCGUAAUUGACGGUACCAUUAGAAUAAGCCACGGCUAACUACGUGCCAGCAGCCGCAGUAA